GCGCCAGCCAAAUUUCCAGUUUUAUCAUUUUGCUUGGAUAUUCUUUCUUCUGUCUCACCAACUCUGUUGUUAAGAAAUUCCAUUGCAUUGUUUAUUUGAUCUAGUGUUCUUCAUUUCUAGCAUUUCAUUUAUUUUUUAAAUUCCAUUUCAAGCAUUCCUCAACCUCUUCGUCUUCACAUUCUAAUAUUGAAAUGUUGUACUCUUCCUUUGUGGGGCUCAUAGUGUCUUCCGUAUUAUUGUUUCUUGAACUUUUGCCUUUAUUUUUAGGCAUUUGUAGAUAUUUUUGUUUGGUGGCUUUUAUCUUUGAUCUGUGCCUCGAGGGCUUAUUGGGAUUCUACACUUUCAGUGAAUAACAGAUGGUGUGUGCUGGGUGUGGCUAUGGAACUCUGUUCAGCUCUCCAGGAUGGGGCAAGUAUCCAGGGAAACCCAAGUUGAGCAUGUUAGCCUUUCUCUGGUUAACAGGAUGGAGAGGAUUGAUUACCACUAUUAGUGUGACCAGCCCUUCUCUCAGCUGAGGAACAACUGUUAGUCCCCAGUAUGCUCAUUUCUCAUCCGCACCCAUUGUAAGAAAUGCACAUAUGAUCUAUGGAGUCUUUCCUAUGAACAUAUUUCCCUCUGCUAUCAGCUACUCUAGGCAACCCAGGAGCCCUGAGAGUGUGUAGAAACACUCUGUGGCUGCCUAGAAUCCAGUGACACCCUGCAUCCUCUUAAGCAGUCACAGUAUUUUCUCAAUCUCAGCUCCCAGGUUCUGAGGGUCAUGGAGUGCCAGUGGGGCCAUUCAGCCCCACUAGCCAGUUCUCUCUGCCAGGAAAUUAAGGUGUUCCCAGAGCCACUGUUUGUGUGAGAUCUAGUUCACUGGAUUGAAUCAGAUUUGAUGUCUGUAGGGAAUGCAGGGUUUUUGUUGUCUCCUGAUAGAUCUGUGGUUCACAGGUGCGCAAAGUACCACCACAGCUCUGCUCAUUUCACAAUCGUGCUGCAAACAUAGGAGAGUCCACCAUGUGAUACUUCCCUUCUGUGGGGAUGGCUCUCCUUCCUCCCCCCAUUGCCGGGUGGGUGUAACUGGCAUGGAGGGGUCUUUUUCCCUUGGUUUCUCCUGAAUCACUGUGGUUGCCCUAGCCAGUUAGAUAUAGAAGGUUAUCCCAGUAAUUUCUGGGAGUUCACACAGGAGCUGGGGCAGCCACUACCUGCUUGUGUCCAAAAGUGGCACAGGCCUCCCACUGCUGGCUGUAUGUCUGUUGUAGUGGGGUGGGGGAGGGGAUAGUACCACAUAGAGGUCUGCUUCCCCCCCACCUCUCUAGAGGAUCUGGGUGGGACUCUAAAACACGCCAUUCACUAAGCACUCCCUCCUGCUGUAUCAGCAGCAUCAUGCAUCCAUGGAGUCAGCUCUCACCUAGUUUGAAUGUAAGCUUGUGGGUCUUUUAUUGCAUGUCUGCUCUUUCAGCAUGGGUCCACACCGUUUCUACUACUUUUUCAGUAUGUCCCACUGCAGUUUCCUGCUGGUUUAUCCUGAGAGUGUAUUUUAUACCCUUAUUUUAAAUAUUAGUUUUGCCUAGCUUAAAUCAGACCACCCUGUUACUAUUCUUCCAUCUUGGAGCCCCAUAUUCAAAUAUCUUUUAAAUAUUUGUUUAUUUGAAAGAUAGAUAUAUAGAGUAAGAGAGAGAGAGAGAGAGAGAGAGAGAGAAUCUCCCAUUCAGUGGUUUACUCCCAAAAUGGCCAUAGUGUUCAGAGCUGAGCUAAGCCAAGGCCAGGAAUUAGGAGAUCCUUCUGGGUCUCCCACAUGGGUGCAAGGGCAGAAGGAUUUGGGUCAUCUUCCACUGCUUUUCCAGGCACAUUAGGAAGAGGCUAGAUUAGAAGUGGAAUAGCCAGGAAUCUAACUGGCUUCCAUAUGGAAUAAUGGCACUGCAGGCAGAUGCUUUUUAAGAGCUCUCACAUAGGAGAGAAGGUAAAGCUAUUCUUUGCUGAGCCAGCAGUAAGAAGUCCCAUUCAGCAGAAAGAAUUAUAAAGAGGCACUUUCUGGUCCAAUAAGAGCAGAAAUGCUGCCAGGUAUGUAGUGUUAUGCUGUGCAUAUAUCCUGCUAUACCCUACAUGUACACUUGCUCAUUUAAUCUUCACCAUGACCUAAUUAUGCAGCAGGUAGUAGAGCCUGUUUUCAGAUGUAAAAACAUCUCCCAAUUUUUAACGGAUUCACAUAGAGUCACACAACUGCUGAGAAUCGGUGCCUGGAUUCCCACCCAGAUGUUCUGCUGCAAACCCCAGAAGUACCAGAGCACAUUUGGACACUAGCUUCUAAUACAAGGAUACCAUCAAGCCACCCUGACAUAAACUGGCUUAUUCCUUUCCAACUGGCUGGUCCUCUUCCAGAGAGAUGGUGCUUGUAUCUCUGUGGCUGAUUUUGUAUAUUCUUCUUUGCAGCUGUGUGUGCAAAACAGCAUUCUCUGUUCUGAGAUGGCACUUGCAUGGGAUAAACACCAUGACACUAGAACCAUAAUGUAAAAGUUGGUUUUAUUUCCAAGAUGCCUGGUAUUUUUUAUGAAAUCCUGGGGGAAGGCAUUACAAAAGGCAGUGUCUGAUAAAAUUCCAUAGGCAUUAAACACUUGAUUUUGAUUCUCAAAUUUUGAAGACAGCUACCAGGUGCUUGCUGUGAACAUCAGCUUUUUAAAUCCAAAUAGGAGGGGGCUUUGGUAUCUUAAAAAAUAGCCUGAGAAUCAGAUAUUGAAAUCAAUAAUAUUGACUCUCAAUUAAAACUUGACAGCUUACAAGAGAUUUGGAUAACUUACCUGAUGACAUUUGCCUCUCCCAACAAACCAAAGAAGUAGAUAACAUGAAACCACUUCGCAUAUAAGGAACAAGAUUCAAGGAAGUGAAGUGACUUGUCCUGAGUUCUGUUGUUAAAAGGAAUAUAGCCAAAAUCUACGUGUUUUACUAAUAUCUUCCAAAUAUUCUCACCAUCACCUGAACCUAGUCAUUUUCAGUCCUUGCCUACUAUUCCAUGACUGGUCCCUUUGCUUUCUUUCUAGUCUACCUAUAGGGCUUUGCCCACUCAAAGUAAGAAUAGCAUGAAGUGAAUCAGAUGUUUCCAGGUGUAAAUAUCUUUGGGAAAUUCAUCUAGCUCUGAGAGUUAAAAUCCGUAUACAACUGUGCAGUCUUAGCUCAACAGAUUCCACCUGGGUGAAUCCCAAAUCCGACAGUGUUAUUUCAACAAUGUACUGAAGAAUUCAGCUAGAAAAUUGCAGGCCCAAACCUCCUUCCCCAAAGCUGAAACCCUGUGGGGCGGGGGUUGUAUAGUUUGGGUUCCUUAUCUUUACAUCUGCACCUGUGUGAGGAUAAGUGGCCAAAGCUGUGUAACCCUUGCAGGAGAUGUCCUUUGAACUCCCCACACGUGGUUUGAGUUUCUGGGUGUGGUGUGAGGUGAUUUGCUAAUGAGCUUCCCUCGUUGUUUGAUGUUUUUCUAAAUGGCACCAUAAUGUGUGGAAUGUCUCUGAAAAUCCUAUAAAAACCCUGACCCUUGACUUCUGGGGGCUGCUCUGUUCCUGCGUGUUCAGAGAGCUCCAGCAUGCUGGUUGAAUAAACCCCUUGCUGAUUGCAUGUGUGUGUCCUGGGGUGGUGGACAUUUCUCGACCCUAACAUUUGGAGGCCCCUGGGAGAUCUGGUCUGCUGCCUGUGGACGCCUCCAACGGAUAUCUCUCAGGGUAAGUAAAGGCGCCUAUUCUUGUUAUUCUAUGUUGUGUUGUUAUUCCGGUAGUCUGUGAGCGCUCUAGGUCUCUUCAACUUUCUGGUUUUGAGAGUUAUUGCACUGGUGUAGUAGCUGUUGGGGCAGGUGCGUGAGCCCUCCCCGACUGUGGCCAACAGAUGUGCCCAGGGGGCCACAGGUAAUGGCCCUGGGGGAUGCCCCAGGAGGAAAAAGGAAGGCUGGGGACGCCCAGGGGCUUCCGUCGGGUAGACAUUAAGUCUGCAUCUAUAUUGCCAGCGCAGUCUGUAUGGCUGGCCUGGUGUGGCCUGCGUUUUAUUUUAGGGUUCUUACAGACACUCUAACUGGUCAUUGUGUGUUGAUCUCUGUCAUUGUCUCCCUGUUCCUGUACCUUGUGUUAUCUGAAACCAUGGGUCAGACUGUGUCUACUCUGUAGGGGACAAGGCUCCCCACCUCUGUAGGAAGGAAGUGGGUCACUCCUGCAGUGCAGCGUGAGGCCAAUGGUCCAUUUUUGUCUUUUUUUGUUUUGUUCAGUGUCCUUUUUUGUGAGUCUCUUUGGUGUUUGUUUUUAGCUGUUUGUAUUUACCUUUCUGAAACUGGUAUAAUGGGACAGACUUAGACAACUCUUAGAAAGGGAGACUAACCACCCUUUGUUCUCAGAUUGGUCUACCUUUGAAGUAGGGUGGGCGCCUGAGGGCACCCUUGACAUCCUGGUCUGGCAAGAUCUGGUAGAAACUCCCUUUCCUGGUUAAAGCCUUUUCACUCCCUCAGGAACAGCCUUCGAAGGAGAUUUUAGCCAUCCAGGACUGUCCCGGCAAAGCAGAUAAAAAGAAAACUAAGACUUCAGCCUCGGCGCCGCUCUGUUCUGUUUUGCAGGGUGACUGAAGAUUUGAUUUUCCCUCCUCCCUACCAGCUGCCAGGCCUGGCCCUGGCUGUGGGGCUGGCAGCGGGGGCACAGGAGAGGGUACAAGAAGCAGCUCCCCAGGGGCCAGCAGAUCCCUGCACUCUCCCUUCACAUGCAGCAGGGAAACCCCUGCUGUGCCAUUAGCAAGUGCCUGGAACCCCCUGUGUGUUCAAAGCUGGCCCUUUGAGCCUCAACCUGCAGGACUCAGCUGGGGCCCAGGAAUGGCAGGUGGAGGGUGGGAAGGUGCGCCUCCCAACUCAUUCCUUGGGAUCCUAACUCCCAGAGCCAUACCCAUUCCCCCCAGACUGACUCCCCAUGGCCGACCAAAUGGGGCAAGUGGACAGAUCUCCUGGACUUCAGGACCCGGUAAGUCUCCCUGGGGCGCUCUGUACUCAGGCCCGCCUUUGUGCGGAAGCGGGGGCUUCUGUUGCUCCUCUACCAGGUACCUGUUGGUGUCUGUAAUGGAAGAGAGUACGUACAUGGUGUAAAUGUGUUUGUGGCUCCACAGCCCUGCAGCUACGGAGUCUGAAUGGGCCCUAACCUGCAGCUCCGUGUUCACCAGGCGGGCGAAGCGAUCUCAGUCCAGAUCAGUGCCUGUUCCAGAGGUUUUUACCUUUUGUUUUGUGCAACCAAGGGGGGCAUUUUAGACUUCUAACUCUGUUUUGUGGUAUGUUAACUCCACCCCUUUGCUGGGAGUGGAGGGGUGAAAGGUCAGCUGCCUGUAGGCAUGGGGUAGUAAUAACUUAGUUUUUCUAAAUCAAGUUAAUCUCUGGUGAGCUUUUCACCCAGGACACCCCAGCCCCCUGGCCCACAGUCACUCUUGGGACCCGUCUUGCAGCUGCCUAACAAGUCUGUUUCAGAGGCAGUACCAGGUAUCUGUUGACUGGGUGCAAUCUGGGAGCCGGCAGCAGGUGCUGUUAGUCACUGCUGGGAUGGAUGGUGGCUUCUUCCCAACAGACACUUUUUGUCCCAGAUCACCUGGCCUACUCUCUGCUUCAUCAGCUCCAUGGAAACACUCACACGGGGAAAACAGCUUAGAAGUUCUGGUCAACUGGUAUUAUGACAGUGCUCCCCAUGCUUGACAGAAAUGUAACUCAGAGAUGUUAAACUUGUGCCUGCAGCAAUGCCAAACGGGGGCCCUCACAGCCACCAGGAAUAUGAAGAACAGGACGAAGCCUGUUUGGAGGCCUAGAGAUAGACUUUGCUAAGUUACUACCCAGCAGAGGCUAAGGAUACCUGUUACUGUUUGCAGGACUCAGGCUGAGUGGAGUCCUUCCACACCAGAACAGAAAAAGCCAGAAAAGGCACCAGGGUUUUGCUGAUCAAGAUCUCACCCAGCAAUCCUCCUAUAGGUUCUGAUGGAAUUUUUCCAGCCACAAGUAUCAUAUUCAGUGCUUUGGGAUGACUCUGUAACCAGAUGAAGCCAAUAACAUACUAAAGUGUGAUCAUUCUAAUAGCACUGGGGAUUGAUCAAAUGCUCAAGAGCUUGGAUUCUAACAGAGUGACAUGGAUUCCUGCCUCUUUGUAGCUCUAUGAUCUUGGACAACUCCUUAUCUGUAAAUUACAGAUAAUAAUAACAUGGCCCCCAAUAUUGUUUAUCCUUGCAAAAAAAUAAAAAUAGCUCCUGACCUCUUGAAUAACAGUGGUACAUGUAAUGGUGGUCAUUACCCAGUCCAUCUCCUAGCAAUCUUGCUCUUUAAGUUAUCAAUCUUUUCAUUGUCCUCCAUGCAAAUAUGUACUUCCAGAACAUACUUCCAGAAGUUCUCUUGACUUUUGGAAUUUGGUAGUUAGACUGAGGUGUCAGUUUUUUGCUUUUGCUUUUUCUUCUACAGGCAAGAUGUUUCAAAACUGGUGCCGGGACACACAGCCGUGUGUGCUGUGCCAGUAAGGAUGGACAGGGAAUGAUAAUUCCUUGGAGAUAAAAAUUGCCUGCUGCUUGGUUGAUGUGGCUGCCACAGCAAUGCAAACUGUUUGUCUGUAGGCCCUUGCCAAGUAUGCAGAUGUGUGGAGAUUAAAGAGGAAAUAGGGUUUUGCAGGAACUAUUUCUAGAACUAGUUCCAGUACUAGACUUUGAUAAGAACUUACUGAAGAUUUUUUUAAUCAUUGUGACAGUAAGAUUAGGUAAUUGUCACAACUAUGACCAGUUAGUAUUAUCCUAUCUUAGAGGAAAUUGAGGCACAGAGACACACUUGUUCAAAUCACAAAUAAUGGUGUGAUAUUUGCACCCAAUAUGACUCCAGAGCUGACCCACUAGUCUACAGUGUUGACCACACUUUAUGAUGGCUUCAAAAAGUUCAUGGAGAGUUCACAUUAUGAGAGAAACUUCACGAAUUUCAAAAAUUUUUGCACAAACAUAAACGUAUCUUUAAUCCAAUUUUUCCACAUUUUAAAGCCCUUGUAUAUUUCUGUGGUGCUCUACAGCUCAUUAGUCACUUUGACCUGCUCUCAUUUAAGUAGACCAAGGCAGAGAAGGCUGCUGCCUGAGAUGCAGUCAACUCCAGAGGAAGGGAUACCAGCAGUACUAGGAGUGUGGCCACAGGAGAAAAUGGCUGAUAAGGACCUCAUCCAUCCCACAUGAUCUCUCAUCUUCCCACAGGCAGAAGUGAAAGAUCUGUUUUAUGGUGCUAAGAGGUCUGAGAUAUGGAAGAUGGGAACCCGUAUUUGAAACCAGUUCCUAUGUUUUGAAUCUUGCUAUACUUUCUUGAUUUUACAAUCUAAGGUCCAAUUUUCUUAAGAUCCAAACUAUUUUCUGCUGUUUGAAGAAUCUGUUUCUUCCCAUGAUGAGAGGUACUGUCCAAGGUAAAGCUAACCUUGUUCACCAUGAACUUCUUAAGCUUCCCUUUUGGGCUUUUUGGUUCUUGGUCCUCUCAUUUCUGUGCCCAUGGCAAUUAUUAGAGAAAAGAUCUUGCAUGGAAGUUGAUGUGUGAGAAAUGCCCAUGGUGUAUUUUCAUAAAAUACUUAGCAUUAGUGUGGCCAUGACAGUAGGAAUCGGUAGAAUGUAGGAUAGAGUGUCACCAAAAGAGUAGGUUAAGUGUUGAGUUUGUUUUGCAAACCAUGUGCCACUCAUUUCCUUUGUAACACACAAUGAUCUGAUGUCUCAGUUCCAAGAACUGUGUUAGCCUUCCUGACACCACUGUGUAACUCCCUUUACCCUCUUCUAGAUCUGCCCAACAAUGUCCAGCCUGAUACACCUACCUAAUUCUGGCCUAGGUGCCAUGUCAGGUUAAGACUGUACCUCCCAAGUUUCUAAACCGGUGAGAAACUGGGGGGCAUGAUCUCUGUAUGACAGGAUAAAGAGCUGAAUCUCUGAGGAAAAUUCCUGCUUCCAUCUGCUGGUCACCACUCUUGAGACUGGGUAACAAAAUGGUGGGGCUGGUGCUGUGGCACAAAGCGUUAAACCCCUGGACUGUAGCACUGGCAUCCCGUUUGGGCACUGGUUUGAGUCCUAGCUGCUCUACUUCUGAUCCAGUCUCUGGCUAAUGUGCUGGGGAAAAAAGAAGAGGAUGGCCCCAAGUACUUGUGCCCCUGGCACCCAAAAGGGAGACUCAGAAGAAGCUUCUGGCUCCUGGCUUUGAAUCAGCCCAGCUCUGGCCAUUGCAGCCAUUUCAGCAAGUGAACCCGUGGAUGGAAGCUGAGUUUGAAGUCAUUAUGUUAAGUGAAAUACAGUCAGGAAAGGACAUUUUGUUACUCUUCUAUGAUAACCCUAAAAUAAUUGCUUUCAUAAAGAUAUAAACUGGUAUGGGGUGGAGAGAUGUCAUCAGAGAUGGGUGAGGAGAGGAAAGGGGGAAUUAUUGUCCAUUGAGUAGAGUUUUAUUUGGGGAAGAGGAAAACAUUCUGGAGAUGGAUAGAGGUGAUGGUUUUGUAACAAGGUGAAUAUAUUUAAUGCCAUUGUUAGUACACAUUUGAAAGAUGUUAAAUGGGAAAGUGUGGCAUUUUCCUAUAUUUUUGAAAAAUAGAAAAAAUCAAAUUUGAAUCUGUUGAAAAGGAAAUGUAGGUUUAAUAUAGUUGUCAUCUGUGUGUGAAUCUAGCUGCAAGAACAGCAUGAUUCAGGGCUCAAAAAGCAACAUAUGGGAUCUAUGUCUUGACAUCAUCUCUCCUAAGGCCCCUUGAAGUAAGAGACAGCCUCCAGCACCUUCAGACUUAGACUACCACCAUACUCAGUUAAGCAGAGAAGAGAAAACUUUCUGUUAACUCCUACCAGAAACUUAAAACUAAUUCUCCUUUGUAGAUUUAAACUGACUGCUUUCACACCCCUCCUCAUUUCUUUUUUUAAUGAUAAAAGUGAAAAUUAGGAAAGGUGAUUAUUCUAAAUUUAUAGGAAAUAAAUAACAUCAGACAUACAUGAAGAAAGCUACAAUUACAAUGUAACCUGAAAAAGGCAUAAUCACAAAGAUUUGCACACAUUUCUAUCAGUGAUUGAUAAAACAGAUGUAGUAAUAAGACUAUAAAACAUCUGAGUAAGAGAACAGACAACUUUGAUCUAAUCAUACAUAGAAUUAUGCAUCCAAGAAUUACAGAAUGCAUAUCCCAGGCAUACAGUGAACUAUUAUAAAUUUUUAUGAAAUUUGACAACAUCACCAAGUAGGUAUCCAGACUUUGAUCAUAAUACUAGUAUGUCCUUGGUAGACGACUACAGAAAUCAGCCCCUGUAGCCAGGGUGUGGAAUGUAGUGACAGGUUCAAGUCAAGACUUGUGCCCUGACACCGUCCUGGGGGAGUCAUCCACAUUUUAUUACAGAGAAGUACUAGGAGAAGGAGUGAGAGUGUCCCCAAGGCCAAAUGGAGGGGCAGUUUCCCAAGGAGAAAGAGCAGAAGCAUAUCCAUCCGUUCACUCUCUCAUUUGUUCAACAUUUCCUAGUGUGUUUUGUGCUUCAGUCAUUGAGCUCAAUGUGAGGAUAAAAGAUUUCCAUAGCCAGAGCUUGUGCUGCCCCAGGAGAAAACAAUCCUGUCCAAGGGGGCAGAUACACAUAUUAAGUUACUUCAAAAACUUCAGAGGGCCAGACAUUUGACGUAGUGGUUAAGAAUCUGCUUAGGAUACCUAAAUACCACAUAGGGUGCCUGAGUUCAAAAGUCCUUAUUUCUCUCCUGAUUCUAGUUUCCUUAUAUUACACAACCUGGGAAGCAGCAAGUGAUGUGAUAGUCCAAGUGACUGGGAGACCUGGAUUGAGCUGCUGGCUCCUGUUUUACCUUGGUCCAGCCCUGGCGUUGUGGACAUUUGAUGAAUGAACCAACAUAUAAAAGAUCAGUAAAUAUCCCCCAACCUUUCAAAUACAAUAAGUUAGUUUAAAAGUCAUGGAAAAAUGGAACUAAAGGAUCAGUGCCUUUUGGUGUAAAAAAGUUAAUCCUAGUCAUACAAAGAGGUCUUCAAAAAGUUUAGGGAAAAUAGAUAUUAGGAAAAAUUUUUAUUUUUUCACACACAUUCAAACACCCUAGUGUAUAUAACACAAAAUGGUAAAUGCUGUAAAGUUAUGUAGAGUGAGUAUUUUCCACAGCAUCUAAGGGAUGCUUUCUUAUGUAUCUUCAUGAUUUCUAUGACAGCAGAGCCUGCUUGUAGAUAUGAGUAAAUUAGCUUUAAAAUGUCUCUCCCCCACCCCCAGUUGCUCCUCUUCCAGUCCAGCUCUCUACUGUGGCCUGGGAGGGCAGUGGAAGAUGGUCCAGGUCCUUGGGCCCUGCACCCACGUGGGAGACCAGGAGGAAGCACCUGGCUCCUGGCUUCAGAUCAGUGCAGUGCACCAGCCACAACCCACUGGCCGUAGUGGCCACUUGGGGGGUGAACCAAUGGAAAAAGGAAGACCUUUCUCUCUCUCUGUCUCUCUCUCUACCUCUACCUGUCAAAAAAAAAGUGUCCCUAGUACUUCAUGAAAAAUCAUGGAAGAGCUCAAUGAAGUCUUAUGUCUCCAAGCAUUAGGUAAAUAAUUGCAUUAGUUUUUUGACUCCUUUAAUUUGCCAGAUUAGAGAAAAUAGGAAAAAUGCCUUGAUGUUUGUUCAUUUUCCAGGGGUGCCAUCACAAUGUACUGCACCAGGGUGGCUUUAAAGAACAGGUGCACUGUCCUAUGGUUCUGGAGUAUGCAAGUCUUCCAUAUGGCUAUCAGGGCUUGUUCCUUUUGAGAGCUGUGGGGGACAAUCUGUUCCAGGCCUCUCUCCUAGUUCCAUGUGAGUUUAUUGCAGUCUGUGGUGUCCUCGAUUUGUAGACACAUCACCUUGAUCCCUGUCUUCAUGUUCAGCUGGUGUUCUUCCUCUGCCCAUGUCUAUCUCCAAAUACCCCUUUUUCAUAAGGACAUCAUCUGAAUUGGAUUGUAUCCCACCAUGCUCUAGUAUGACCUCAUCCUAACUAAUAACAUCAUAACCCUCCUUCAAAAUAAGGUCACAGUUUGAAAUAUUGUGGGUCAUGAUUUCAACACAGGAAUUUGAGGGUGAGGGGACAAAAUUAAGCCUUGGCAAUUACUGCCCCCUCUCUGCUCUAUCUUCUGUGCUGCACACAAGUUUGAAAAAAUGAAGUUGGAAAAACAUCAUCUCUGUAUGGUACUAUGCAUGAAACAGAACAGACCAUGUCUAUGACUGCCCUGAAUAAGCUGACUUGAAAAUGUGUAGAUAUCCCAAAUAAGUACAAACUCUAAUGAUCAUGAAUGUUGUUUUAAAAAAACAUGGACAGGCAUUUAUCCUAGUGUUUAAGAUGCCUGUUAAGACACCUGUGUCCCAUAUUAGAGUUCAUUCCCAGUUCAAACUCCUGACUCCAGCUUUCUCGUAAUGAAGGCCCUCAGAGUUUGUAGCUGAUGGUUCAAGUACUAAGGUCCUUGCCACUCACAUUGGAGAACCAGGUGGAAUUCCUGGCUCCUGACUUUGGCCUUGUCCAUUUUUUGCUGCUGCAGGCAUUUUGAAAGUGAACCAGUGGGUGGGAGUGCUCUCUCUUCUCCCCUUUCUCUCCCAAUUCCCUUACUGACUUCCCCUCAAAUAAAUCAACAAAAGUAAUUUUUAAAAUUAAUAAAGUCAAACCAUCUUAGGGCUAAAUAGGCCAAGAGAUGGUCAGAGUUGGAGGUGUUGCCUCAACACCAGAAAAAGAUUCAACACCCUUUUCAUUAAGGCCUUGCUCUGCCAUGCAAAGCUCUAUACAUGGGUAUAGUAUACUCAUACUUCUGUAAGGAACAUUUACUUUAAAAGCAUAUAUAACAGGUUAUACUUGAAUAUUUUGCAUAUGUAUAGGAAAAAUAUCACAAAUUCUAUUUAAUUCUUCCCACAACAUAAUGGGUUGUUGUGCAUCAUCUUUGGGGUAACUGCAUGUGCUUUCUCAAAAGAUUUUAUUUAUAUAUUUGAGUGGUAGAGUCACAGCCAGAGAAGGAGAAACAGAAAGGUCUUCCAUCCACUGAUUCGCUCCCCAAAUGGCUGCAACAGCCAGAGCAGGACCUAUCUGAAGCCAGGGGCCAGGAGCUUCUUCUGGUCUCCCAUUUGUGUGCCAAGGCCCAGGCACUUUGGCCAAACUCUGCUGCUUUUCCAGGCCAUAGCAGAGAGAUGGAUCAGAAGAAGAGCAGCCAGGCCAUGAACCAGUGCCCAUAUGGGAUACCAGUGACACAGGAAAAGGCUGAGUCUAACUCACCAUAGUGCCAGCUCCCCCAUGUAUGUGCAUUUGAUACCAAUUUCUAAACAAUCUUUCUCUAACUACAUAGACAUGAUUUCCUACCUCUAUUCCUUUAUCUUAAUAUUCAUCCUCAGCAUGAAUGACCUUCCCACCUCUAUUGCCCUCAUCCAAGAUUCAGCCAUGUCCCCUGUCACAGAUGAACUUAUUCAGCCUAGUCCAACUCCUCUGAGCAACAGUAUUCCUCAUCAUACAAGCAACUAAAGUGCCAGGCGAUCCAUAAAAGUUAGAAUUUUUGGUGUUUCAAAGUGUUUGAAAGCUUGGCUCUUGUUUACUUUUUUAUUCUUUGUGUUUCUUGAGAUUUAUUGCUGGUUCCAUAACAGUUCCAAAAUAGCUGUCUUUGAUUUAAUCCACUAAAGAAACUAUUCCUUUAAAAUUAUGUUUUAAAAUUCAAAAUAUUGAAAUAUUUUAGAUAAAAAGUAGAAAAAAUUUAAC
Molecule: non-coding RNA, 12656 nt
Organism: Oryctolagus cuniculus (rabbit)
Lineage: Eukaryota; Metazoa; Chordata; Mammalia; Lagomorpha; Leporidae
Source: RefSeq, a predicted model, not a curated record